This 76-nucleotide transfer RNA is filed under the name Nanobdellota archaeon. RNAcentral describes it as "tRNA-Met". It matches the Rfam family "tRNA". Rfam says of the family: Transfer RNA (tRNA) molecules are approximately 80 nucleotides in length. Lineage: Archaea; Nanobdellati; Nanobdellota. The record is from RNAcentral.
AGCGGAGUGGAGCAGCCUGGUCAGCUCGCAAGGCCCAUAACCUUGAGGUCGCAUGGUUCAAAUCCUGCCUCCGCUA